UAGAAAACACCCCAGUACUUCCUUUUCACCCACUUGUCUCUUUAUAAAUUUACUUUUUCAACACAUAACAAAUGCUUAUUUGAUACUGUGGAAUCAAAAUGAUAAAUCAUAUAAUCAUGAAUCCUCAGUUCGGUGAGCAAAGUAUACAUAUUUUUUUUAAUUAAUUAAAAGAGCCUAACAUAAGUAUUGUGAUGGCAGAAGAGCCAGUGUGCUGUGGGAGCCCAGAGAAGAGAGAAAAUAUAUUAAAAAGACAGGAAAACCUUCACCAGGAAGACACCACUUUUGUUGGGUCCUGGGGCAUGAGUAAGAGUUUGCUGGUAUUUUCAACCGCCAUUCCUUGCCUCUUAAUUAUUCAGCAUAUAAUCAGAUUCCAAAUAGCUUUUGCAAGUUGUGUCUUCUUUAUGUAAGUUAAAAAUUAUAAAUAGUUUCAAUGGCUUUCCUCUGGUUAUCUAAAGGAGUUGAAGUAAAAUCACCUUGUCCUAUGGAGAAAGUAUUAGAGUUCUUCGGGCAGUACAGUUGAAUGAAAAAUAAGAGGCUCUUACAGAGAAGGCAGGGGGCCCUCAUUGUGAGCCAGAGAUUUGAGGGGUUUUGUUGUUGUAUGUUUUGUUUGUUUGUUCAUUAUUAGCAAAGCCUAGGCUUCCUCAGUGUCAGGGGAGUUGUCUAUAGAGUUAGGACCAAGGACUGCAUCAAAUCAAGGCAGGAUAAGAAAUGUAGUUUCUUUAACGAAGUUGUAUUUUUGCUCUUUCUAUCUCUUUUGCUCUACUAAGCAUUUACAUAAUGUCUCUUGCUUGAAAAGGGCAGUCUUUCUGUGGGUCUACAGAGAGGGAACUCUAGAAGAUGCAGAGACGGCAUCUCAUCCAAGGUUUUAGGGCCUUGCCAUGGGCUUUGCAAUGUAGGCGCAUAAUAAAUGUAGGUUCUACCAAACAGAAGGUUCCAACCCAAGCUCCCUCCUUUCAGAUUUUAUUUCUAUUCUCAGACGGAUUUGCCUCCUCUGCCACCUAUUGGCAGGAGGAAACAUUGUCUGGCUGAGCUCACCAUAAGCGUUCAAACCUCAGCUCAGAUGAAGAUAAGUAACCAAGAAACUGGCAUCACCACACAUUAUCUCCUCCACCAUGACUGUUCUAGGCUAGAAGAGAAUAUUAGUGGCAGGGGGUAAGAGGCAACAUCUUGGUCCAGGAAUGAUAGCAGAGCACACAAAAGUGCAAUGGAAUUCCUGGCUACUGUGCUUUCCUUUGCUACAACAAAAUAUGUUCUCUGUUGAAACACUAGAUCAAUAUGCUGAGGCUCAAGGAGAUCAAGCAAAUUGCCCAGAAGUCACCUUGCUAGCCAGUAGUCUACAUUUCAAUCAUUCAGCAACUGUUUGUUAAGCCAAUAAUCUCUGCAAGCAAUGUACUGAGGACUAACUCUACACUGGUAAACAGGACAGACCCACUCUUUGCCAUAAUAAUGACAUAAAAAUGGCCAGCAUUUACAUGUUUAAGGUCUUACUAGGUCUUCAGCUUUAUUUUGUUUUACUCUCACCAAAACUCUAGUGAUAUAGAUACUACCAACAGAAUACACAAUUUUCAAUGAGAAAUUGAGUUUUAAAGAAGAACCUUCUCAAGAUCCUAGUGCUGGUAGAUGAACUAGUUAGGACAGGUGUAUGAAUUCGUAAAAUCUUAUUUUCAAGUUCAUUUUUCCUGUUACUAUGCUAUGCUUCUUCCUGGAGCUUAAAGUCCAGUGGGCAAGAAGGACACUAACAGUAAACCACAAAUAAAUACAUGAGCUUUUCAGGCUACCUUAUAGACCCCUCAGAAAGAUUAAUCCAGGGCCAGUAGACUUCUUAUUAUACUUCAGUAACAUCACCUUCCUCUGGCUUGACAGGUCCGUGAGGUUAUGAAAUUGUGUGUGUUGAUGUCUGCCAGGUUGUUGAUUCUUAUAAUAUGCAUGAUGUCAGGCAAACCCAAUUUUUAUAUGAUGGUUUCUAUUGAAUGUAAAAAAAAAAACAAAAAAAAAA
Canis lupus familiaris (dog) is the source of this 1996-nucleotide long non-coding RNA. RefSeq lists it as uncharacterized. The transcript is spliced from 3 exons. The record is from RefSeq and is a predicted model, not a curated record. Lineage: Eukaryota; Metazoa; Chordata; Mammalia; Carnivora; Canidae.